CUCGAAGAAGUUUGCAGUCUCCAUCGUGCACCGUCUGGUAUCGUCGUCACGUUAGCGACGAGGAAUCACCGCUUGCUUGGUUUUCGGCGGACCGCGAUGGACAAAAAGCUGAGCCUUGCGCAAACGAUGAUCUCGGCGGGAGUCUUCUCCGUUGUCUCUUUCUGGUACGGCUUCAUGUUCGGGAGGGAAUCAGCUCGGAAGGAGCUGGGCGGCCUGAUUGAAGACCUCCGUCGAAGUAAUGCCGCGGCCUCCGAUGCCACAACGAAGAGCUCCCAGGAUUAGAGACCAAGGUUGGAGGUUGCAAUUCUCAAAAACACUCUCCUAAUUGGCGACACCUGAGAUCAGGCACAUGCAGUGUCUGGUUAGAGAGCAGCCUUUUCAUGUCCUUGUAAUUUUAGCUUUUUAUGUUCAAACAAGCUCUAAGCAAGUCGGACGUCAUUUUGGUAUGUUAUUUUUCUUCUUUUUCCCAUCGAAGCUAAGAUCACAUCCACCCCUCAAACUACUUCGCAUGCAUUUUGAUGACAGAAUUGGCUAUUUCAUGAGUUUACUCCGUUGUAAAAAGACAAAAAAAUAAUGUUGUUAAUGCAUAUCUUUGUUUCUCA
Long non-coding RNA from Musa acuminata AAA Group (dessert banana), 602 nucleotides. RefSeq lists it as uncharacterized. The transcript is spliced from 3 exons. Lineage: Eukaryota; Viridiplantae; Streptophyta; Magnoliopsida; Zingiberales; Musaceae. The record is from RefSeq and is a predicted model, not a curated record.